AAGCCCAGGAAGGGGCUGGGCUUAGGCGCAACGGAAGGAAGGGAAGUCUCGGGGUUACACUGGAGCAGGAAUGAGUAAACUCCGGCCCUCCAGGUGUUUUGGAUUUCAACUCCCGUGGGAGUUGAAGUCCAAAACACCUGGAGGGCCCAUGCCUGCACUAGAGUUAAAAGCAAGUGUGCAUCCCUCCUGAAAUCCCCGAGCUUGUAGUUUAGGGGAGGGGCCUUCAAAAUGCCCAGCCAGAAAGAUCCCUAAAAGCUCCAGCUGGUGCAGCGGGCAGCAGCCAGGUUAAUAAUGGGAGCGGCUUACAGGGAGCAUACAAACCCCCUGCUAAGCCAGCUCCACUGGCUGCCGAUAUGCUACCGAGCCCAAUUCAAAGUGCUGGUUUUGACCUACAAAGCCCUAAACCAGGGGUCCCCAAACUAAGGCCCGGGGGCCGGAUGCGGCCCUCCGAGGUCAUUUACCUGACCCCCGCCCUCAGUUUUAUAAUAUAAUAUAUUGGAUAUACAUAUAAUAUUGAUAAUAAUAUUAUAAUGUAAUACAAUAUAACACUAAUAAUAAUACCAUAUAAUAAUAUUAGUUAUAUAUUCUAUGUUACAUAUAAUAUUACUAAUAAUAUUACAGUAUAGUGGUAUAGUUCAAUAAAGUAAUAUAUAAUGCUAAUAUUGUGCUAUGCUAAUAAUAUAAUAUAUUGUAUGUACAUAUAAUUUGUAAGCCACUCUGAGUCCCCUUUGGGGUGAGAAGGGUAUGAUACAAAUGUAGUAAAUAAAUGCAGUAAAUAAAUAAAUAAUAAAUAAAUACAUUUUAGACUUAGGCUCACCCAAAGUCUGAAAUGACUUGAAGGCACACAACAACAACAACAACAACCCUAAUUAACUUGACUAUCUCAUUGGCCAGAAGCAGGAGCACAUGGGAACAUUGAAAUCCUGAUAAAUGUAUGUUGGUUAAAAUUAUUUUUAUUUUUAAAUAUUGUAUUGUUCUUUCAUUGUUGUUGUUUUUGCACUACAAAUAAGACAUGUGUAGUGUGCAUCAGAAUUUAUUUGUUGUUUUUUUUCAAAUGAUAAUCCGGCCCCUCAACAGUCCGAAGGAUUGUGGACCGGCCCUCGGCUUAAAAAGUUUGAGGACCCCUGCCCUAAACGGUUCUGGUCCUGCCUAUCUAUCCGAACGUAUCUCCUCCUAUGAGCCUGUUAGAACCUUAAGAUCUUCCGGGGAGGCCCUGCUCUCGAUCCCACCUGCCUCGCAGGCGCGGCUGGUGGGGACGAGGGACAGGGCCUUCUCGGUGGUGGCUCCCUGGCUGUGGAACUCCCUCCCCAGCGAUAUCCGGCAAACCCCUUUCCUCCUGGGAUUUAGAAGAAAACUAAAAACUUGGCUCUGCGCCCAGGCAUUCAGCGAAUAAGCUCACUGGCUGAUGUAAUUGGGUCGCAAAUCUGUAAUUGUAGCAGUAGUGAAUGACUGAGGAUGGUGUAAUAUCACUGCCUUGCAGCGUUUUAAUUUUUAUAUACUUUUUAUCACAUUUUUAUCAUGUUUUUAUCAUGUUUUAAUUGUUUUGUUUUAUAGUAUAUUUGUUGCUGGCCCUCGUGGCAGAAUGUAAGCUGCUCUGAGUCCCCUUGGGGAGAAGGGCGGGGUAUAAAUGCAUGUAAUAAAUAAAUAAAUAAAUAAUAAAGGCAAACUGCGUUGGAUAAUACAGAACGUUGGAUAAGCGAAGGUUGGAUAAGUGAGACUCUACUAGUUAAACAGGGGAAUUGCAGGUAAGAAACAAUCAGGGCCAGCUAACACCUCCCAACAAAGGAUUCCCCCGGGCAGUAAACAGACAGACCUUGAACUGCAAGGCUAUUCAAUGCUGUGAAUUGCACAAUUCACACUUGCCUCAAACAGACAAGAACACUGGACCUUCCACAAAUAUAUACAGUAAACCCCACUUGUCUAGUUUUCAACAUACCUUACAACCUUUGAGGAUGCCUGCCAUAGAUGCAGGCGAUACAUCAGGAGAGAAUGCUUCCGGAACAUGGCCAUACAGCCCGGAAAAGUCACAGCCACUUACCAACUGAUCAAUGCUGCACUUGAAGAAGCGAAUUUGUUUCUUUAUGUUAGGGUGCACCUACACACUGAAGAAUGAAUGCAGUUUGACACCACUUGAACUGCCUUGGCUCAGUGCUAUAAAAUCCCGGAAUUAUAUUUUCACAAGGCCUGUAGUCUUCUCUGUGAAACAGUGCUAGUGCCUCAACGAACUACAACUCCAGUGAUUCCAUUGCGUUGAGCCAUGGCAGUCCAAGUGAUAUCAAACUGCAUUCAAAUGCAUCGGAUGUCUUCUUCUAAUCCAGCCAAUACUGAGCCCUCUCCUUAUUGCACCCACCUUCCUUUCCUAGCACUGAAAAAUCAACCUGCUAAUAAGGUCUCUGUUUCAUCUAAAAUCCUAUGAGACUCUUCCUAAAGCAGUGGUUCUCAACCUGUGGGUCCUCAGGUGUUUUGGCCUACAACUCCCAGAAAUCCCAGCCAGUUUACCAGCUGUUAGGAUUUCUGGGAGUUGAAGGCCAAAAUAUCUGGGGACCCAUAGGUUGAGAACCACUGUGGAACUAAAGACUUCUCUAGAACUAGAGUACGCUUGUUCACCCUCCAACAUCAUAGAGCUAUUGCAGUUGCUACAAAAUUUAGGUAGCAGUGAAAUGGAGUGUGACCUCAGAAGGACUGUGGGAGUCCAAUGCAACCUCCCCAAACUGAAGAAACGACCGUCUCUAAUUUGAAAGCACUUUGUCAUUAAUGGUAGAAAGGUGCUCAUUGGUUGCUUCUUCACCGCAAAGCACUGCUGAAGAGGUGUAACUUCAGAGAUGUUGUCUUCUUUGAGUGUCUUACUUUAGAGAAUUCAAUUUACAACAUAGUGAUCUAUGAGAAGUAAUAGUAAGUAAAUUCUGCAAGCACUCAGGCAUCCCAAUUGCAGCCUACAGAUACUUCGGUUGCGCUGCUGUAACCUCCAAUCCAAGUCAUGCAUGAAAUUAGCUGCUGUCAUUCUAAAACCAGAACCUGAGAGAGCUCUACUUGAGACUUUAACAAUAUAGAUGGACUGACAAAGCUCUGUGAAAUACUGAUACAUCUUGACUGCAAACUGCAGGU
Molecule: long non-coding RNA, 3105 nt
Organism: Anolis carolinensis (green anole)
Lineage: Eukaryota; Metazoa; Chordata; Lepidosauria; Squamata; Anolidae
Exons: 3
Source: RefSeq, a predicted model, not a curated record